GUUUACGGCCAUACCACGUUGAAAACACCAGUUCUCGUCCGAUCACUGAAGUUAAGCAACGUCGGGCUCGGUUAGUACUUGGAUGGGUGACCGCCUGGGAACACCGAGUGCUGUAGACG
RNAcentral lists this ribosomal RNA (119 nucleotides) under Lottia gigantea (owl limpet). Lineage: Eukaryota; Metazoa; Mollusca; Gastropoda; Lottiidae. The record is from RNAcentral.